AAGGUUUUAAGUUAAAAUUAAACUAAUAAUCUUCAAAAUUAUUCAUAAAGAAAUUUUCUUUAAGCCUUA
RNAcentral lists this transfer RNA (69 nucleotides) under Lamoria adaptella. RNAcentral's name for it is "tRNA-Trp". Lineage: Eukaryota; Metazoa; Arthropoda; Insecta; Lepidoptera; Pyralidae. The record is from RNAcentral.